Molecule: long non-coding RNA, 426 nt
Filed under: Anas platyrhynchos platyrhynchos (common mallard)
Lineage: Eukaryota; Metazoa; Chordata; Aves; Anseriformes; Anatidae
Description: lncRNA (ENSAPLG00000026404.1)
Source: RNAcentral
GGAAAGCAACUGAUCUCUUCUUCAUGGUGACCAGCACCAGGGAACAGCAUGAAGCUGCAGCAGGAGAGGUUCAGGCUAGAUAUCAGGAAAAGGUUCUUCUCUGAAGGGGUGGCUCUGCCACCCCUUCAGAGCCAACAGGCUCCUCAGAGAAAUAGCCAUGGCCUCAGUCAUGAGUUCAGGAAGUGUUUGGACACUGCUCUCAGACACAUGGUUUAAUUUUUAGGUAGUCCCAUGUGUAGCCAUGAAUUGGACUCGAUGAUCCUUGUGGCAAUCCUCCCCUCCAACUUUGAAUAUCCUGUUCUGUUCUAUCCUGGAAAUCCGGAAUGGGUAGGGUGUGUUGAGCAAAAGAAUUCAUCUGCAAGAGGAGAAAGAGGUGCUCAAAGUUGCAGUGGAAAAGUAGAAAUUCCAGGAAUAGAGAAGGUGUGA